UGGGGAAUAUUGCACAAUGGGCGCAAGCCUGAUGCAGCCAUGCCGCGUGUAUGAAGAAGGCCUUCGGGUUGUAAAGUACUUUCAGCGGGGAGGAAGGGAGUAAAGUUAAUACCUUUGCUCAUUGACGUUACCCGCAGAAGAAGCACCGGCUAACUCCGUGCCAGCAGCCGCGGUAAUACGGAGGGUGCAAGCGUUAAUCGGACUUACUGGGCGUAAAGCGCACGCAGGCGGUUUGUUAAGUCAGAUGUGAAAUCCCCGGGCUCAACCUGGGAACUGCAUCUGAUACUGGCAAGCUUGAGUCUCGUAGAGGGGGGUAGAAUUCCAGGUGUAGCGGUGAAAUGCGUAGAGAUCUGGAGGAAUACCGGUGGCGAAGGCGGCCCCCUGGACAAAGACUGACGCUCAGGUGCGAAAGCGUGGGGAGCAAACAGG
This 429-nucleotide ribosomal RNA is filed under the name Chloroflexota bacterium. RNAcentral describes it as "Chloroflexi bacterium partial 16S ribosomal RNA". It matches the Rfam family "Bacterial small subunit ribosomal RNA", at positions 355 to 776 of the family's 1533-position model. Lineage: Bacteria; Bacillati; Chloroflexota. The record is from RNAcentral.